Molecule: ribosomal RNA, 497 nt
Filed under: uncultured bacterium
Lineage: Bacteria
Description: partial 16S ribosomal RNA
Rfam family: Bacterial small subunit ribosomal RNA
Source: RNAcentral
GAUGAACGCUGGCGGCGUGCCUAAUACAUGCAAGUCGAGCGAACAGACGAGGAGCUUGCUCCUCUGACGUUAGCGGCGGACGGGUGAGUAACACGUGGAUAACCUACCUAUAAGACUGGGAUAACUUCGGGAAACCGGAGCUAAUACCGGAUAAUAUAUUGAACCGCAUGGUUCAAUAGUGAAAGACGGUUUUGCUGUCACUUAUAGAUGGAUCCGCGCCGCAUUAGCUAGUUGGUAAGGUAACGGCUUACCAAGGCAACGAUGCGUAGCCGACCUGCGGGGGUGGUCGGCCACACUGGAGCUGAGACACGGUCCAGACUCCUACGGGAGGCAGCAGUAGGGAAUCUUCCGCAAUGGGCGAGAGCCUGACGGAGCAACGCCGCGUGAGUGAUGAAGGUCUUCGGAUCGUAAAACCCUGUUAUUAGGGAAGAACAAAUGUGUAAGUAACUAUGCACGUCUUGACGGUACCUAAUCAGAAAGCCACGGCUAACUACGUG